CUACGGAGGGUGCAAGCGUUACUGGGAAUCACUGGGCGUAAAGCGCGCGCAGGCGGCUAUUUAAGUUGGAUGUGAAAGCCUACGGCUCAACCGUAGAACUGCAUCCAAAACUAUUUAGCUAGAGUGUGGGAGAGGAAGAUGGAAUUAGUUGUGUAGGGGUAAAAUCCGUAGAGAUAACUAGGAAUACCAAAAGCGAAGGCAAUCUUCUGGAACACUACUGACGCUGAGGCGCGAAAGCGUGGGGAGCAAACAGGAUUAGAAACCCUAGUAGUCC
RNAcentral lists this ribosomal RNA (274 nucleotides) under uncultured bacterium. RNAcentral describes it as "partial 16S ribosomal RNA". It matches the Rfam family "Bacterial small subunit ribosomal RNA", at positions 523 to 796 of the family's 1533-position model. The record is from RNAcentral.